GUGUAAAAAGCGAAGGUUUGCGUACGGUUUCGGCCCGUAAGUUGGGGAAAUUUAAAUCCUCUUUACACU
RNAcentral lists this transfer RNA (69 nucleotides) under Onustus exutus. Its description in RNAcentral is "tRNA-Arg". The record is from RNAcentral. Lineage: Eukaryota; Metazoa; Mollusca; Gastropoda; Littorinimorpha; Xenophoridae.